Long non-coding RNA from Lolium rigidum, 352 nucleotides. RefSeq lists it as uncharacterized. The transcript is spliced from 3 exons. The record is from RefSeq and is a predicted model, not a curated record. Lineage: Eukaryota; Viridiplantae; Streptophyta; Magnoliopsida; Poales; Poaceae.
UCAAGCCUUCAACACCAAGUUUCUAUGGGCCAUCAACUUCCACCUCAAGCUCGUAGACAUUGGCAUCAAAAGGUUCCUCGAGCUGUGUUUGGAAUCAUGUUUAAUGUUUAGAACUAGCCAUGCUUGUACAUGUAAGGUCAAGAAUCAUAUGUAUGCCAUCGCCAAAAGUUGGAGGCAAUGGCAUGUACAGGAUACUUGGGCAUAGAUGUACUGCAACAGUAGUAGGAGAGAGACGUCGGCAGGGCAGUAUCGUGAGCAAGCAAAUUCAUGAGUGGCUCUAGGAUACCAAGGAUCAUAUUGUGGGAUCAACUGUUGGUGUUUAGAAGCUCGAUGAAUUGACCUUUGAAUUAAC